GAUGAACGCUGGCGGUGUGCCUAAUACAUGCAAGUCGAGCGAACAGACGAGGAGCUUACUCCUCUGACGUUAGCGGCGGACGGGUGAGUAACACGUGGAUAGCCUACCUAUAAGACUGGGAUAACUUCGGGAAACCGGAGCUAAUACCGGAUAACAUGUUGAACCGCAUGGUUCAACAGUGAAAGACGGUCUUGCUGUCACUUAUAGAUGGCUCCGCGUCGCAUUAGCUAGUUGGUAAGGUAACGGCUUACCAAGGCAACGAUGCGUAGCCGACCUGAGAGGGUGAUCGGCCACACUGGAACUGAGACACGGUCCAGACUCCUACGGGAGGCAGCAGUAGGGAAUCUUCCGCAAUGGGCGAAAGCCUGACGGAGCAACGCCGCGUGAGUGAAGAAGGUCUUCGGAUCGUAAAACUCUGUUAUUAGGGAAGAACAAAUGUGUAAGUAACUAUGCACGUCUUGACGGUACCUAAUCAGAAAGCCACGGCUAACUACGUG
This 497-nucleotide ribosomal RNA is filed under the name uncultured bacterium. Its description in RNAcentral is "partial 16S ribosomal RNA". It matches the Rfam family "Bacterial small subunit ribosomal RNA", at positions 28 to 507 of the family's 1533-position model. The record is from RNAcentral.